CCUACGGGAGGCAGCAGUGGGGAAUUUUGGACAAUGGGGGCAACCCUGAUCCAGCCAUUCCGCGUGAGUGAAGAAGGCCUUCGGGUUGUAAAGCUCUUUCAGCUGGAAAGAAACGGUCUGCUCUAACAUAGCGGGCUAAUGACGGUACCAGCAGAAGAAGCACCGGCUAACUACGUGCCAGCAGCCGCGGUAAUACGUAGGGUGCGAGCGUUAAUCGGAAUUACUGGGCGUAAAGCGUGCGCAGGCGGAUUGUUAAGCAAGAUGUGAAAUCCCCGGGCUUAACCUGGGAAUGGCAUUUUGAACUGGCAGUCUAGAGUGUGUCAGAGGGGGGUGGAAUUCCACGUGUAGCAGUGAAAUGCGUAGAUAUGUGGAGGAACACCAAUGGCGAAGGCAGCCCCCCUGGGAUAACACUGACGCUCAUGUACGAAAGCGUGGGGUAGCCAAACAGGAUUAGAUACCCUGGUAGUCCACGCCCUAAACGAUGUCAACUGGUUGUUGGGGGAGUGAAAUCCCUUAGUAACGAAGCUAACGCGUGAAGUUGACCGCCUGGGGAGUACGGUCGCAAGAUUAAAACUCAAAGGAAUUGACGGGGACCCGCACAAGCGGUGGAUGAUGUGGAUUAAUUCGAU
This 629-nucleotide ribosomal RNA is filed under the name uncultured bacterium. RNAcentral's name for it is "bacterial SSU rRNA". It matches the Rfam family "Bacterial small subunit ribosomal RNA", at positions 338 to 955 of the family's 1533-position model. The record is from RNAcentral.